AGGUGGAGGACUAAGUGCAGUGUUGUUUUAAUUUUAAGAACAAAUGUUUGAGGAAGUAGGUUGCAGCAGUUGUUUCACAUUCGAUUAUUUCUCAAGACACAGUGCAGCUGAAGAGUAGUGGUAGAAUAGUGAUUACUGCUGUUGUCUCAAGUGAGUUAUGUUGUUAUACUCUCCUCUGCACCUGAGUAGAACCAGUGGGGACCUCUUUUAUGUUGUUUUCUUCUGCUCUGAUUUAUAGUCUCCUCCAGCAACAAAUCUGCCAGAUCUGGAAGCACACAGAAAAUGGUACUUAGUGCAGAAGAGCCAAAUAUAUUGCUGUUGGUCUUGCUCUUCUUAUUUCCAGUACUUCUGUCAGGAUCUUGGUUUCCCAGAAGUUUGCCCUGUGAUGUUAAAGCCUCUGAAGGUGCUGUGACAGUGGACUGCACUGAUCGACAUCUCACUGAAGUCCCCAGAGGGAUUCCUGCAAAUGCUACCAACCUUACCCUGAAUAUUAACCAUAUCCCCCGUAUCAAUCCAACAUCCUUUGCUCAUCUUGAAAACCUUGUGGAGAUUGACUUCAGAUGCAACUGCGUGCCUGCCAGAAUGGGGCCCAAAGACAAUGUGUGCAUCAGGAGACUGGAGAUUGAGAAUGGCAGUUUUGCUGCCCUGACAAGUCUGAAGUCAUUGUACUUGGAUGCAAACCAGCUGUUGGAAAUACCCCGGGGUCUCCCUGCUACUUUAAGUCUGCUGAGCCUGGAAGCAAACCAUAUAUUUUCUAUCAAAAAACACAAUUUGUCAGAGCUAGGAAACAUAGAAAUACUGUAUUUGGGACAGAAUUGUUACUACCGUAACCCAUGCAAUGUUUCCUUUGAAAUUGAAAAAACAGCCUUUCUGGAGCUGAAAAAAUUAACAAUAUUAUCCCUGAAGUCUAACAACUUAACUCAGAUUCCACCCAAUCUGUCAUCUACUUUAAAGGAAUUGUAUAUUUACAAUAACAUGAUUCAAGUGGUUCAAGACCAUGAUUUAAGUGCCCUUCACAACCUAGAAAUUCUUGACCUUAGUGGUAAUUGUCCACGUUGCUAUAAUGCCCCAUAUCCUUGUACUCCCUGCCCCAAGGGUACAAUUGAGAUACACUCAAAUGCUUUUUAUUCCUUGAAAAAUUUAAGAAUUUUGCGGCUUCACAGUAACUCUCUUCAGAGCAUACCCAGGGUUUGGUUUAAAAACAUUAGGAAUCUCAAGGAACUUGACCUCUCCCAAAAUUUCCUUAUGAAGGAGAUUGGAGAUGCUCAGUUUUUGAAGUUUAUUCCCAGCCUUGUAGUGCUCGAUCUGUCUUUUAAUUUUGAAGUGAAGGUCUAUUCUCCAUUCUUGAAUCUGUCUAAGACGUUUUCCUUCCUCUCUAACCUGGAAAUUCUGCGGCUCAAGGGAUAUGUCUUUAAAGAACUUAGAGAGGAAAAUCUAGAUCCAUUGCGCAGUCUCAGAAAUUUAACAGUGUUGGACCUCGGGACUAAUUUUAUUAAAGUAGCUGACCUGGGAGUGUUCAAGGAGUUCCCAGCUCUUAAACUCAUAGACCUCUCAGUGAAUAAAAUUUCUCCUUCCUCAGAUGAAAGGAACUUUAAUGGAUUUUGCUCUAAUCCCAGGAUUUCAUUGGAGCAAUACAACAGGCAAGUAUUACAAGAGAUGCAUUAUUUCAGGUAUGAUGAGUAUGGGAGAAGUUGCAGGUCCAAAGACAAAGAGGCUGCUUCCUCUCGAUCAUUAGUUAAGGAAGAGUGCCUGGAAUAUGGAGAAACUCUGGAUUUAAGCAGAAACAACAUAUUUUUUAUAAACCCCUCAGACUUCCAGGGACUUAGAUCCCUCAGAUGUCUCAACUUGUCAGGUAAUGCAAUAAGUCAGACUUUAAAUGGAAGUGAAUUCUACUACUUGUCUGGAUUGAAAUAUCUGGAUUUUUCUAACAACAGGAUUGACUUGCUAUACUCAACUGCAUUCAAAGAGCUAAAACUUUUAGAAAUACUGGACAUAAGCAAUAAUGAGCAUUAUUUUCUGGCAGAAGGUGUUACUCACGUGCUUAGUUUUAUGAAAAACUUGCCUUGUCUGAAGAAGCUGAUGAUGAAUGAGAAUGAGAUUUCUACCUCUAUUAGCACAGGAAUGGAAAGCGAGUCUCUCGAGAUUUUAGAAUUCAGAGGAAAUCGUUUAGAUGUUUUAUGGAUGGAUGGUAAUUCCAGGUACUUGUCAUUCUUCAAGAAUCUGACCAGCCUGGAACAACUGGACAUUUCCUUCAACUCACUCAGUUUUUUGCCCACUGGUGUUUUUGAAGCUAUGCCUCCAGGACUCAAGGUCCUCAACUUAACCAAUAACCGUCUGAAGGCUUUCAGCUGGGGAAGCCUCCAGAAUCUGAAGAGACUAGUAACUCUGGACCUCAGCGAUAACCUUCUGACUACUGUUCCCCGAGAACUGUCCAAUUGCUCUUCAGUGCUGCAAGAACUCAUGCUCCGAAACAAUCGCAUUCAACGGCUAACCAAAUAUUUUCUCAAAGGUGCUUUUCAAUUGAAAUACCUGGACCUCAGCUCAAACAAGAUCCAAAUAAUCAAGAAAUCGAGCUUCCCUGAAAAUGUCAUUAACAACCUGAGGAUGCUGCUUUUGCAUGGCAAUCCUUUCAAGUGCAAUUGUGAUGCUGUGUGGUUUGUUUGGUGGAUCAACCAGACUCAAGUGACUAUUCCUCUUCUGGCCACGGAUGUGACCUGUGCUGGCCCAGGGGCACAUAAGGGAAGGAGCCUGGUUUUGUUGGACCUGUAUACCUGCGAGCUGGACACCUCGUAUUUGGUCCUGUAUGCUCUGUCAGCUGCAACUGUGCUUGGCUUCAUGGUGUUCACAGUGACAAGCCACCUCUAUUUCUGGGAUGUGUGGUAUAGUUACCAUUACUGCGCUGCCAAGCUGAGGGGCUAUAGGCGUUUGUCUUUACCAGAGGCUUGCUACGAUGCAUUUAUUGCCUAUGACAAUGAAGAUCCAGCUGUGAAUGAGUGGGUGCUGAGUGAACUGGUUGAAAGGCUGGAAGAUCAAAAAGCCAGACAGUUCAAUUUGUGUCUGGAAGAGAGGGACUGGCUGCCAGGACAGCCAGUCUUCGUCAACCUUUCUCAGAGCAUUCAGCUGAGCAAAAAGACCAUAUUUGUGCUGACCAACAAGUACAUUCAAAGCGGCAGUUUCAAGACAACAUUUUACAUGGCCCACCAGCGGCUUCUAGAUGAAAAAAUAGAUGUCAUUAUCUUGAUAUUUCUGGAGAAGGUUUUGCAGAAGUCCCGCUACGUCCGGCUGAGGAAGAGGCUGUGCAGAAAUUCUGUCCUGGAAUGGCCAACUAACCCCCGAUCUCAGCCCUACUUUUGGCAGUGCCUGAAAAAUGCAAUAGCAAUGAGCAAUACCCUGGCGUACAACAAGCUUCUCCAAGAAACUGUUUAGCUCUACCCUUCCCUGUAAAUACUCUUAGGAUGCACGGUGAGAAAAAGAUCCUAAACUUCAUUUGGAGACAGUGUGGAAGCAUGGAGGGUAAAUGCAGUUGUGACAUCCUACCCCAAAACAAAAUGCACAAUCAGUACCAAAGCUCAUAGUUUGCUUGUUUUGCUAUGACAAGACUGAACAGAAAUUGUUGCCAGCACAGAUGUUUAUCUGGCGUGCACCUUGUUUGAUAUUGGUUGCUGCACAAUAAGAGAGUAUGCACUACCCACUGGAAGUCCCUGGUUUUGAACAGACUCACUGCUUCCAGCUCUCUGUUCACUGGAGGCCUUCAGCAUCUCCUGGGGUUGGGUCAAGCGUGGGUGAAACACCUGCCCAGCUUACUUUAGUGCACAGACUGCUGGGAGGACUUGAGCCAUGCCUGAAGCUGCUGCUGUUCAGAUCACUGUUGGAGUAAAUGUGAUUUUAAUAGAAAAGUAUGGAUUCUGUAUUUGGUAUAUUUAUUGAAAUCACGAAAAGUAUUUUCUGACACAGCUGUCUCAGAAAAUACUCUAAGCAAAGCUCAUGCUUUGAAUUUAGGAGUUGGGGAAAUGUAAGAACGAUUAUUAUUUCAUCUUGGGCUUACAGCUGCUGAGCCUACAGCUUGUGUGUGAGUGGGCAACAGGCCGAAUGGCUGGGGAGAGGGAAUUCUGGUGGGACUGCUGUCAGGAGCUUGGGUGUGGUAUGUCAAAAAUCUCAUAAAUCUGAAGAGACUUUGAAGAACAUGUAUGGGCUAAAAUAGUAACAUAUAAGAGAAACAAAUUCAGAAGGGUUUGCAGGUUGUAGGUCAGAAGAAGUUACAAGAUAAAUGGAGUCGUUGUGCAAGGAGCUGCUGUGUGGGAGUGAGAAGAGAGAGCAGAGGGAAGCCCUUGCACAAGGCAGAUGUAGAAAAUCCAGUGAAACAAAGAGGAAAAGACAAAGAAAGGAAGGUAAAAAUAAAAAAGAGAAAGGGGAAGAGGUGGAAAGAACAGCGAAAAAGACAGCCAGAUUGGGCAUGAUAGAAGUUAAGAAGCAUUUACUGCUCAUUUCCAAUUAAUCUCUUCAAUUUGCCUUUCACCUGCCUCCUGGGCUGAACUUAUUCCUCCCCAAGGACUUGGAACUCCUUGCCAGUGUUGUGCCAUCAGCUUCAGGAGCCUGGCUUCCCCUUUUCCAUCUAGGUCCUGUGUUACAACUCCUACAAGUCUGUCUGUCCUUUCUUUAAGUAGCUCCAUUUUCAUUUAUUUGGAGGUAUCCAGACAGACAGGAACAAAAUCACAAACAAGAAAAUCAAGCUUCAUAUAAUAAUAUUACAUAUAACAAAGUGGUUUUCCUCCCAAUUUGUCACAGCAUAUUUACUGACUGAAACAUAUGUAGGAAAAAGAGGAGGAACUGCUUGAGAAUACUGUAGUUUUAUGGUUUCGUUUUAAUAUUUUUUUUUUUAUAAUAUAUCUUGCUGAUGGUUCUGUUUGUAAGCCUAAACAAUGUGUAUCUCUAAAUACAGUAACAGGAGUUUUAAUAUGAGUUGCUUCAUAAGGUAAUGCUUGAAAUGGGAACCUCUACUCCUCACUUACUCCCACACAAUCUCCUUCUACCUGCCUACAUCAUUUCUACCCAGAGCAGAUCCUCUUUCUUAGCCUGCUUGAUUAGGGUAGUGGCCACAAGGUCAUAUGGCCUUUCCAAGGUUGAGGGGAGAAGCACUUCCUCCUCUUCCAUUUAGAGGAAUCCAAGAGACUUUUAUGGCAUUAGUAACAACGCAUAUGUUAAUAUACACAAAAGUCUGAGCUGACAGUACGGCAAGGGGCUUAUGCAUACUGCAGCACAAGGCUGCAGAGAGGAUGGGGUUGCUGCACCAACACUUUUCUGAAUAUCCAAGAGCGACAGUGAAUGGUGCUGUGGUCUGCAGUGGGAAAGGAGCGAUCUGCUGGUAUGGCACUGCCCACUGCAAGGGUCAGCACUCUCAGCCAGCACCUGGGUCACCGGGAGAAGAGCCCACAGCUGGUUUCAUGAGAUAAAAACCUUUUCUGAUACCUGCACUCUUCCCUUGCAAAAAAACACGGCCAGAGGAAUGAGGAGGGACCAAGGAAGACUGAAACAGGAAGUUAUUUUUUUAGCUAAAGAAGGUAAUUCCCUACCCCAUUUCUGUAUCCUGUGACACCUCUAUGUAGUUACCAUGCUUCAAGAAGGAGGUACCAGCCUGAUGAGCUGAGCCAUGGCUGCAUCCUUCUCUCUCAAUUCUUCAUGGUAUGCUAGAAGGAGGCCAUUUACUGUCCUGGACCAUGUGUGUUUUGCAGACUGAAGAUUAUCUCUGUAGUCAUAGAACAACAGGGUUUGGGGCUUUUUUUAAGGUAGUUUAAUACAUAGUAGUUAAGAGUAUUUCAUUAAUCAAAAUCUUUCUUGAACAGGAGAAAUAAUCUGAAUUUAGAUUAGUUAGGUUCAUAGCUAAGAAAUGCCAUAAAUGGGCAUGCCCUUCAUUCCUCCUGAAUUUUUUUUUUUUUUUUUUUUUUUAAUAAUGGAGCACCAUGAAAAAGGUAGGAGUUAUGAGUUAUUUGGCAGAUUCAAACUAAUUUAUUACUCUAACUGUAUGAGGAUUUUAACCUUGGAGCUUACUUGCCUGGUUGGUGUAGUAGUGUUUGAAUUUAUCAAACACUGAAGAGCCCUGAGGUGUCCAUACUUCAGGGUUUCACUAUGGUAUAGCUUGUGAUCUGGAGGAGGUCGAUGAGGAGGAAGAGGUAAGGGCAUUCAGCUAGCCUAAAUGUUGACAUCUAAAGGUCAAUGUGUCAUUCUGCAUUCAGAUGUGAGGUGAUAGAGACAUUUUAUGACUAUCACUUUUCCUAUUGCAGAGGUUUAAGAUGGGCCAAAGUAAUUGCAACGCAAAACCAGAAUUUCUCCCCGCUAUCUGUGAAGGGUUCCCAUGGUGACCAGCUCAGAUGUAGAUGAUUCUUCCUCAUCCUUUACCCAGAAUACUUGAGAUCCACAAGUCUGCAAAGAAGAAUUAUAUUCAUACAAGCUUAUGCUCUUGAACAUCGUAGCUGAAUGCUGUGUUCUGUUUAUAAUAAAAUCUCUUAACCUAAUAA
Molecule: RNA transcript, 6512 nt
Organism: Columba livia (rock pigeon)
Lineage: Eukaryota; Metazoa; Chordata; Aves; Columbiformes; Columbidae
Gene: TLR7
Gene name: toll like receptor 7
Exons: 3
Source: RefSeq, a predicted model, not a curated record